RNAcentral lists this ribosomal RNA (1629 nucleotides) under uncultured Glomus. RNAcentral's name for it is "eukaryotic LSU rRNA". The stretch from base 761 to 1629 matches the Rfam family "Eukaryotic large subunit ribosomal RNA", at positions 1 to 693 of the family's 3401-position model. Lineage: Eukaryota; Fungi; Glomeromycota; Glomeromycetes; Glomerales; Glomeraceae. The record is from RNAcentral.
UCGCUCUUCAACGAGGAAUCCCUAGUAAGCACAAGUCACCAGCUUGUGCUGAUUACGUCCCUGCCCUUUGUACACACCGCCCGUCGCUACUACCGAUUGAAUGGCUUAGUGAGGCCCUCGGAUUGACUUUCAGAGACUGGCAACAGUCUUUGAUUGUUGAGAAGUUGGUCAAACUUGGUCAUUUAGAGGAAGUAAAAGUCGUAACAAGGUUUCCGUAGGUGAACCUGCGGAAGGAUCAUUAUUAUUUGGGUCGGGUUUACCUCUUGUCUAGUUUUUUGUGCUCAAUAUUCAAGAGGAGGUAAACUUUUACCAAAUAAUCCUAUUUCAAAAUAGGAGCAAGAACCCCCUUAUAUUUAAAACCCACUCUUAAAAUAUUCUUACGUAUUUUGAAUGAUAAAAAUUAAAGAUCACUUUCAACAACGGAUCUCUUGGCUCUCGCAUCGAUGAAGAACGUAGCGAAGUGCGAUAAGUAAUGUGAAUUGCAUAAUUCCGUGAAUCAUCGAAUCUUUGAACGCAAAUUGCACUUUCUGGUAUUCCGGGAAGUAUGCCUGUUUGAGGGUCAGUUAAAUUAAAAUCGGUGUUGUUGCUACCCGUAGUGGUGUGUGAUGCAUCGGAAUUGAGUCGUUCUUUACCUUUGGUUUAAGUGACUUAAAAUUAUGUUCGAUUUUUUGAACGUAUUUAAAUUAUUACUUACGUUCGUAAUAUUCACAUAUUAGGUGCGGUCAUUCACAUGAUUUCGCGUCUAUAAUUUUUCAUUAUUUGACCUCAAAUCAGGUAAGAAUACCCGCUGAACUUAAGCAUAUCAAUAAGCGGAGGAAAAGAAAAUAACAAUGAUUCCCUUAGUAACGGCGAGUGAAGGGGGAUAAGCUCAAAUUUUAAAUCUGCUAGGUUUUACCUAUCAGAGUUGUAAUUUGAAGAAGCGUUUUCCGCGUCUCGGUUGACCCAAAUCCUUUGGGAUAUGGUAUCAUGGAGGGUGAGAAUCCCGUCCGGUUGACUUUGUGACGCUUUACGAUACGUUUUCAAAGAGUCGAGUUGUUUGGGAUUGCAGCUCAAAAUGGGAGGUAAAUUUCUCCUAAGGCUAAAUAUUGGCGAGAGACCGAUAGCGAACAAGUACCGUGAGGGAAAGAUGAAAAGAACUUUGAAAAGAGAAGUUAAAUAGUACGUGAAAUUGUUAAAAGGGAAGCAUUUGGAAUCAGUGUUGCUGGUUAGGUAGAAAAUCAGUUUUUUUUCUCAGGAUCCCUGUACUUAAAUGAGUUGUAUUUUAAACCUUUUUUGUGCAGUGUUUAUCUUGGAAAAAGGAUGUACUUUUCUAUUCUAACAUACGGUCAACAUCAGUUUUUUUUGUCGGAUAAAGGUCUUGAGGAAGGUAGAUCAUUUUUCUCACGAAAAAGAUUGUUAUAGCCUCGAGAAUCAUAUACGAUGAAAAAGACUGAGGAAAUUAAACUAUGUGCCUUUGGCGAUAGUUAUGUGGCCUUAAGAGGGUGGAAAUAUUAAGCUAUCUAAUAGAUUGAUGUUUCUUGCCUUUUUAUGAGUUAUAUAAUUAUUAACAUAGUUCAAGAUGUUGACAAAAUGGUUUUAAAUGACCCGUCUUGAAACACGGACCAAGGAGUCUAACAUGUAUGCGAGUGU